GACGAACGCUGGCGGCGUGCUUAACACAUGCAAGUCGAACGGUGAAAGAAGAGCUUGCUCUUCUGGAUCAGUGGCGAACGGGUGAGUAACACGUGAGUAACCUGCCCCAGACUCUGGGAUAAGCGCUGGAAACGCCGUCUCAUACCGGAUACGAGACAUAGCUGCAUGGCUACUGUCUGUGAAGUUUUUCGGUCUGGGCUGGACUCGCGGCCUAUCAGCUUGUUGGUGAGGUAUCGGCUCACCAAGGCAACGACGGGUAGCCGGCCUGAGAGGGCGACCGGCGACACUGGGACUGAGAGACGGCCCAGACUGCUACGGGAGGCAGCAGUGGGGAAUAUUGCACAAUGGGCGAAAGCCUGAUGCAGCGACGCCGCGUGAGGGAUGACGGCCUUCGGGUUGUAAACCUCUGUCAGCAGGGAAGAAGCGAAAGUGACGGUACCUGCAGAAGAAGCACCGGCUAACUACGUG
Molecule: ribosomal RNA, 468 nt
Filed under: uncultured bacterium
Lineage: Bacteria
Description: partial 16S ribosomal RNA
Rfam family: Bacterial small subunit ribosomal RNA
Source: RNAcentral